CCUGGCUCAGGAUGAACGCUAGCGGCAGGCUUAACACAUGCAAGUCGAGGGGCAGCAUGACACGGAGAUUCGUCGAAGUGUUGAUGGCGACCGGCGCAAGGGUGCGUAACGCGUGAGCAACUUGCCCGUUUCAGGGGGAUAACCGGUGGAAACGCCGACUAAUACCCCAUAGUAUCACUUUAAGGCAUCUUUUAGUGAUUAAAGAAUUUCGGAAACGGAUAGGCUCGCGUGACAUUAGCUAGAUGGCGGGGUAACGGCCCACCAUGGCUACGAUGUCUAGGGGUUCUGAGAGGAAGGUCCCCCACACUGGAACUGAGACACGGUCCAGACUCCUACGGGAGGCAGCAGUGAGGAAUAUUGGUCAAUGGUCGAGAGACUGAACCAGCCAUGCCGCGUGAAGGUCACGGCCCUAUGGGUCUUAAACUUCUUUUGUAAGGGAGCAAUAAGGUCUACCUGUAGAUCGAUGAGAGUACCUUACGAAUAAGCAUCGGCUAACUCCGUG
RNAcentral lists this ribosomal RNA (502 nucleotides) under uncultured bacterium. Its description in RNAcentral is "bacterial SSU rRNA". It matches the Rfam family "Bacterial small subunit ribosomal RNA", at positions 18 to 507 of the family's 1533-position model. The record is from RNAcentral.